AGUGAACGCUGGCGGUAGGCCUAACACAUGCAAGUCGAACGGCAGCACAGUAAGAGCUUGCUCUUACGGGUGGCGAGUGGCGGACGGGUGAGGAAUACAUCGGAAUCUACUUUUUCGUGGGGGUUAACGUAGGGAAACUUACGCUAAUACCGCAUACGACCUACGGGUGAAAGCAGGGGAUCUUCGGACCUUUCGCGAUUGAAUGAGCCGAUGUCGGAUUAGCUAGUUGGCGGGGUAAAGGCCCACCAAGGCGGCGAUCCGUAGCUGGUCUGAGAGGAGGAUCGGCGGCAUGGGAAGUGAGACACGGUCCAGACGACUACGGGAGGCAGCAGUGGGGAAUAUUGGACAAUGGGGGCAAGCCUGAUCCAGCCAGACCGCGUGGGUGAAGAAGGCCUUCGGGUUGUAAAGCCCUUUUGUUGGGAAAGAAAAGCAGCAGGUUAAUACCCCGCUGUUCUGACGGUACCCAAAGAAUAAGCACCGGCUAACUUCGUG
Molecule: ribosomal RNA, 492 nt
Filed under: uncultured bacterium
Lineage: Bacteria
Description: partial 16S ribosomal RNA
Rfam family: Bacterial small subunit ribosomal RNA
Source: RNAcentral